CCUCACAAUGUUGUCUGCUCUUGGAGGAUGGAGAGAAUUUAAUUCAGCAGCUCAAAGCCAGGGUGGUGAGGCCCUGGAAUGGAUUGCCCAGAGAAGCUGUGGCUGCCCCAUCCCUGGAAGCAUUCCAGCUGGAUGGGACCCUGAGGAGCCUGGUCUGAAGGAACACAUCCCUGCCCAUAGCAGGGGUUUGGAACAAGAUGAUGUCUGAAGUCUGUGAUUCUAUGGCUGGAGGCUGAAAUGAAUGUUAUGGUGAAGGCAGGAGGCCCCAGCCCCAUGGAAGAGGUUCCUGUGCUGCUGCUUCCACUCGGCUCACAUCACAUCACAGCCCCAGUCCCAGAGCCUUCUGCUGGGCAACCCGGGGCAGCUGCGUGGAUCAGGGAAAUCAGAUGAAAAUCCUGAGGCAUCAAUGGAUUUGUGGAAUGCAGGGGUUUCCCUGCUGGAGAAGGAACACCCCCUGAGAUCUCAGCCCUGCAUGCAGAGCAGGGGCUGUCACUCUCGGGGUGUCCCUGUCACCAUGCUGAGCACUCUGUGUCCCUGGUGGGUUCCCUGAGUUCACUGUCCUGAGUCAUGUCGGGCUUCCAUCCCGCCCCUACAAACCACUGUGUACAUUUCAAGAUCACUGCGCAAA
Long non-coding RNA from Vidua macroura (Pin-tailed whydah), 628 nucleotides. RefSeq lists it as uncharacterized. The record is from RefSeq and is a predicted model, not a curated record. Lineage: Eukaryota; Metazoa; Chordata; Aves; Passeriformes; Viduidae. The transcript has 3 exons.